AUGUGGCGCCAUGUCACCGCCACCCCCCAUUCUGUGGGAUGCUUUGUGGGAUCCAAUGAAGACACUGUUUCCAUAAAUGGAGACGGCCAAACCUUGCUGCCCCAGGGCUUUUAUACCUCAUCCCUGGGCCAACACCGAGGGACAGAAGGCAGGGACCCAACCUCUUCUGCGGGUCCUGAACCCAUCAUGGCCAACAGACUCCUUUGCUGGGUCUCCAUUUUUCUCCUGGGAGCAGCUCCCACUGAAACAGGAAUCACUCAGACACCGAGAUACCUGGUCACCGAGGUGAAGCAGGAGGUGACGCUGAGAUGUCAGCAAAAUUUGGGGCAUAAUUUCAUGUACUGGUACCAACAGGAGCCACAGAAAGGACCCAGGAUAAUGUUUUAUUAUAGUCUUAAAGACAUGAGUUUAAAUGAGACCGUUCCUCCAAGAUUCCAACCUGCAUCAUCAGGGAAUGGUCACUUGACCCUCAAAAUCCAUCCUGUGCAAGCAGAGGACUCAGCCAUCUAUCUCUGUAGCAGCAGCAGUGACACAGCCUUGCAGAGUCAUCUCCCAGCUGUGCAGAAACCUCCUGUCCUUGGCAUAGGAAGAAAGGAGGGAGAAAAUUCACCACAUCAGACUGGCUCACAAAAGGAAGUUCUGGCGGGAGGAGGAGGAACUCUGCUAACCAUAUCAUAA
This is a non-coding RNA of Antechinus flavipes (yellow-footed antechinus), 678 nucleotides long. NCBI's taxonomy places the organism in Eukaryota, Metazoa, Chordata, Mammalia, Dasyuromorphia, Dasyuridae. The record is from the annotation of a RefSeq genome assembly.